UUUUAUGGAGAGUUUGAUCCUGGCUCAGGAUGAACGCUGGCGGCGUGCCUAAUACAUGCAAGUCGAGCGAACGGACGAGAAGCUUGCUUCUCUGAUGUUAGCGGCGGACGGGUGAGUAACACGUGGAUAACCUACCUAUAAGACUGGGAUAACUUCGGGAAACCGGAGCUAAUACCGGAUAAUAUUUUGAACCGCAUGGUUCAAAAGUGAAAGACGGUCUUGCUGUCACUUAUAGAUGGAUCCGCGCUGCAUUAGCUAGUUGGUAAGGUAACGGCUUACCAAGGCAACGAUGCAUAGCCGACCUGAGAGGGUGAUCGGCCACACUGGAACUGAGACACGGUCCAGACUCCUACGGGAGGCAGCAGUAGGGAAUCUUCCGCAAUGGGCGAAAGCCUGACGGAGCAACGCCGCGUGAGUGAUGAAGGUCUUCGGAUCGUAAAACUCUGUUAUUAGGGAAGAACAUAUGUGUAAGUAACUGUGCACAUCUUGACGGUACCUAAUCAGAAAGCCACGGCUAACUACGUGCCAGCAGCCGCGGUAAUACGUAGGUGGCAAGCGUUAUCCGGAAUUAUUGGGCGUAAAGCGCGCGUAGGCGGUUUUUUAAGUCUGAUGUGAAAGCCCACGGCUCAACCGUGGAGGGUCAUUGGAAACUGGAAAACUUGAGUGCAGAAGAGGAAAGUGGAAUUCCAUGUGUAGCGGUGAAAUGCGCAGAGAUAUGGAGGAACACCAGUGGCGAAGGCGACUUUCUGGUCUGUAACUGACGCUGAUGUGCGAAAGCGUGGGGAUCAAACAGGAUUAGAUACCCUGGUAGUCCACGCCGUAAACGAUGAGUGCUAAGUGUUAGGGGGUUUCCGCCCCUUAGUGCUGCAGCUAACGCAUUAAGCACUCCGCCUGGGGAGUACGACCGCAAGGUUGAAACUCAAAGGAAUUGACGGGGACCCGCACAAGCGGUGGAGCAUGUGGUUUAAUUCGAAGCAACGCGAAGAACCUUACCAAAUCUUGACAUCCUUUGACAACUCUAGAGAUAGAGCAUUCCCCUUCGGGGGACAAAGUGACAGGUGGUGCAUGGUUGUCGUCAGCUCGUGUCGUGAGAUGUUGGGUUAAGUCCCGCAACGAGCGCAACCCUUAAGCUUAGUUGCCAUCAUUAAGUUGGGCACUCUAAGUUGACUGCCGGUGACAAACCGGAGGAAGGUGGGGAUGACGUCAAAUCAUCAUGCCCCUUAUGAUUUGGGCUACACACGUGCUACAAUGGACAAUACAAAGGGCAGCGAAACCGCGAGGUCAAGCAAAUCCCAUAAAGUUGUUCUCAGUUCGGAUUGUAGUCUGCAACUCGACUA
This 1337-nucleotide ribosomal RNA is filed under the name Staphylococcus aureus subsp. aureus 21235. RNAcentral describes it as "bacterial SSU rRNA". It matches the Rfam family "Bacterial small subunit ribosomal RNA", at positions 1 to 1318 of the family's 1533-position model. Lineage: Bacteria; Bacillati; Bacillota; Bacilli; Caryophanales; Staphylococcaceae. The record is from RNAcentral.